UUCGGAAGGAAGAAGAAGGUAUGCUCCUUCAUCUCCUCCUCUUCAAGUUCUUUCUGUCAAGUGGCUAAGCUCUGACUGUGCAAUGAUAUUGCUCACAACAUUAUAGAGCUUGAUGAAAAUUUGAUGAAAUUAUGAGAGAGAUGUAUGGAUUUGAGUUGAGAGGAGGUUCUGACUCUGAGGAUUGAUCAAUGACUACGUUUUUAGUGGAUGAGUCAACAUUUGUUGGUCGUGAUGAGCAUAUUGGUUGUAUAUUGAGUAGUCUCUCAUCACGACCAAGUAAUGUUGACUCAUCAACUAAAAACGACCAAGAAAUGUUGACUCAUCAACUAAAAACGUAGUCGUCCUCAGAGGCAAAACUUCCACUCAACUCAAAUCCAUACAUCUCUCUCAUAAUUUCAUCAAAUUUUUCAUUAAGCUCUGUGAGCAAUAUCGUGGCGUAGUUUGAGCUUAGCCACUUGACGGAAAGAACAUGAAGGGUAGGGGAGGAAGGAGCAUAACUUCUUCUUCCAAACAGGAGGAGCCUUAUCAGCAUCUUCUUUUGCUUGUUUCUGAAUAGCUAAUUUGACCAUUGCAGUAUUUCACUCGUCCACCACAUCGUCCAUCUCGUAGCAAGCGUUGGUGAACUUUUCUAACCAAAGCCUCACAGUUUCUUCCUUAAAUUUCCUUCGCUCAGCAUCAUUUAGCACUGCCUUCACAGAGUCCUUUGGGGGCUGUACAUGCUUUCUGCACUUGUUUGAAUUGAAAAGCAUAGAGAGUGUUUGUGGGUAAUGGGGGUAUGAUUUAGCUUGUUGGUUGGUCAGGUACUUCUUUAGUCUUCACUUGCCUAUGGGCUCCCUUGUGCCAAACCAAAAUAGGUUGGCAUCUCCCAAGUGAAUUUAAAUUGAUGAAAUUUUAUCACAUUUUAUGUUAAUUUAGUUACACAAUUGAUUUCAUUAAUAAUUGAGAUCAUUUUUUUUAAAAGAAUCUUAGAAAUUUCCUUUGCUGCAGUGAACAAAUAUUUUUAUGUCCUUAACAAAUUUGUCAUGUGCAUGUUUCUUACACGUGGGUUGGUUUGUAUUAUCCUUUAAUAUACAAGAUAUAAUAAUUUAUAUUCCGGUGAAUUUUGUUGUAUGAAGGGCUGGUAAAACUCAUAGAAGAAACUGUUAGGUUUGAACAUGCUUUAUCUCCACAUAAGCCAAUUUAUUUGGUUGGGGAUUCCUUUGGAGGAUGCCUAGCACUUGCUGUUGCUUCUCGUAAUCCUGCCAUUGACCUAGUUCUGAUAUUUUCAAAUCCAGCAACAUCAUUUGGCAGGUCUCAUCUGCAACCAUUGUUUCCUAUCUUGGAAGCUAUGCCUGCCAGACUGCAUAGCACAAUUCUCUAUCUUCUUGGCUCAGUUAUGGUCUUAGGAAUACCGCAUGCCAAGUAAUCAGCUACUAUGGUGCAUGAAAUAUGAAUUCAGUUGCUGUGAUAUUUGGUGCUGCUGCUGUGAACUUAGAUGCUUGAUUUGAUAUCAAUUCUUUUUUAAUAUUAUUGCUAGUAUGUUCAUAAAGACUUGAUCAUCUUAGUUUAUUUCUGUAUUCUUACCCUGAGUGAUAUUUGAUACAUUUUUGCCACAUUCAGCAAAUCUCCAUUAUUGGGGAACCAAGCCUAUUGAGUCCUACAGUUGAAUAGUUUGAUGAGAUACAUUUAUUCAAUGUGUCUCACUUGCAUUACCAGAACAUUUCAAGUUUUGAUCACCUAUAUAUGGGUUCAAGGUUGCCAGUAAAAUACUAGCUUAUGCAUACAGAAGGAUUGCUGGUUGGGGUGGGUUUUAUUUUGUCUAGUCUAAGUUGAUACCUCAGUUCAUUUGCCUUAAAAUGUUUAUUUAUUUUUUUUAUGUUAUUUUUCAUUUAUAGUUUAAAUUACUUAUGGAAGCAGCCCAAGUAAUAUUGUGGUGUCAGGGCUAUUGUAAGAUGUCAAUAUGAAUUUUGCAUCACUCCACUUUGUUUUCAGGGUUUUGAUGAUAUUAUGCCGUGGGACACUCUUCUUUGGAAGCUGAAGCUGCUUAAAUCAGCUGCUGCUUAUGCCUAUUCCCGUCUCCAUGCUGUUAAAGCCAAAGUUCUUGUGUUGGCUAGGUUUUUCUUCUCUCUAAAUUUUAACUGAUUACCAGCUGGAUUUUACUUGCUGAGAUGAAGAAUUUACUUUUAAAGUGGGAAAAAUCUUAAUUAUUAUAAAGAUUGAUGAAGUAUUUGCAUUUCAGUGGCAAGGAUAACAUGCUUCCUAGUAGAGAUGAAGCCGAACGAUUUUAAGAACUCGUUACAAGAUUGUGUUGUUUGUCACUUCAAGGACAAUGGGCACCCUUUUAUUUGUAUGUGAGAAUAUGUAAAUCCAUCAUAUAAUGUCAUGGUUAGCUCUCAUCAUCACUUUCACGUUAGCAAAGCUACUAAUGACACCUAGAUUUUCAUGAGCAUUGACUUCCUCUGAUUUGGUACUCUCAGUCAUAUUGACCAAAUAUUUACUUUUGUUGCAUUGGUUUAAAAUCACCUAAUCCAACCAGGUUGAAUCCCAACUUUACUAACAUCCUUUUCCAUCUGUUCUGGCUUCAGUUUGUCCAAUGGAACAUUGGUGGACUACUUUUUUCAUUUGAUAUAUGUAUGGUGCCAACACUGAAAUGCUUCAAAAUUUCUUUUUCUUUUUUUGGAUAAUUCAAUAGUUACAAUGGGAGAGGGAGAUUUGAACCCUGGAUGUCUCGUUUGGAAGCACUAGGAAGUGCCAAUUGAGUUACAAUACUAUUGGAACUUCAAAAUUUCUUGGAUAUGGUUCAAUCCAUUUGGAGCCCAGGACCAUGUUUAGAUGAUGUAUUUUAAAAUUUCUGUAAAUUUAUGAUUACAUAUCA
RNA transcript from Quercus lobata, 2854 nucleotides. It is a transcript of the gene named acyltransferase-like protein At1g54570, chloroplastic, with no coding region annotated. The record is from RefSeq and is a predicted model, not a curated record. Lineage: Eukaryota; Viridiplantae; Streptophyta; Magnoliopsida; Fagales; Fagaceae. The transcript has 3 exons.